CCUACGGGGUGCAGCAGUAGGGAAUAUUGCGCAAUGGGGGAAACCCUGAAGCAGCAACGCCGCGUGGAGGAUGAAGGUUUUCGGAUUGUAAACUCCUUUUGUUAGAGAAGAUAAUGACGGUAUCUAACGAAUAAGCACCGGCUAACUCCGUGCCAGCAGCCGCGGUAAUACGGAGGGUGCAAGCGUUACUCGGAAUCACUGGGCGUAAAGAGCGCGUAGGCGGGAUAGCAAGUCAGAUGUGAAAUCCUAUGGCUUAACCAUAGAACUGCAUUUGAAACUGUUAUUCUAGAGUAUGGGAGAGGUAGGUGGAAUUCUUGGUGUAGGGGUAAAAUGCGUAGAGAUAAAGAGGAAUACUCAUUGCGAAGGCGACCUGCUAGAACAUAACUGACGCUGAUGCGCGAAAGCGUGGGGAGCAAACAGGAUUAGAUACCCGGGUAGUC
This 440-nucleotide ribosomal RNA is filed under the name uncultured bacterium. RNAcentral describes it as "partial 16S ribosomal RNA". It matches the Rfam family "Bacterial small subunit ribosomal RNA", at positions 338 to 795 of the family's 1533-position model. The record is from RNAcentral.